GCAACAGCGAUGAAGGGAAGAAGUAUCCGGCCGAUGACGCCUGCAAAGAGAACCCCUGGACGGUGAGAAGGGGAGAGGCGGCGGCAGGAGAAUACAUCCCGGAGCAGCCUUCUGAACGGUCUCUCCUAUUAGGAAUGUGUCGGGUUCGCCCGUUACAGCGAUAGGGUGUUGCUGCACCCGAUGAGGCCGCAUGCCGUGAGGCGGCGGCGAAGCUGAGGUGGUACCGCGAUUUACGUCGCCCUCUGU
RNAcentral lists this non-coding RNA (246 nucleotides) under Oscillibacter sp. RNAcentral describes it as "T-box sequence". It matches the Rfam family "T-box leader". Rfam says of the family: Uncharged tRNA acts as the effector for transcription antitermination of genes in the T-box leader family. T-boxes are found upstream of many aminoacyl-tRNA synthetase genes and some amino acid biosynthetic genes usually in Gram-positive bacteria. The record is from RNAcentral. Lineage: Bacteria; Bacillati; Bacillota; Clostridia; Eubacteriales; Oscillospiraceae.